RNAcentral lists this ribosomal RNA (388 nucleotides) under uncultured bacterium. RNAcentral describes it as "bacterial SSU rRNA". It matches the Rfam family "Bacterial small subunit ribosomal RNA", at positions 28 to 417 of the family's 1533-position model. The record is from RNAcentral.
GACGAACGCUGGCGGCGUGCUUAACACACGCAAGUCGAGCGGUAAGGCCCUUUCGGGGGUACACGAGCGGCGAACGGGUGAGUAACACGUGGGUGACCUGCCUCUAGCUCUGGGAUAAGCCUGGGAAGCUGGGUCUAAUACCGGAUAUGACCUCGCGGUGCAUGUUGCGGGGUGGAAAGCCUUGUGCGGCUAGGGAUGGGCCCGCGGCCUAUCAGCUUGUUGGUGGGGUGANGGCCUACCAAGGCGACGACGGGUAGCCGGCCUGAGAGGGCGACCGGCCACACUGGGACUGAGACACGGCCCAGACUCCUACGGGAGGCAGCAGUGGGGAAUCUUGCGCAAUGGGCGAAAGCCUGACGCAGCGACGCCGCGUGAGGGAUGACGGCCU